Long non-coding RNA from Vigna radiata var. radiata (mung bean), 484 nucleotides. RefSeq lists it as uncharacterized. Lineage: Eukaryota; Viridiplantae; Streptophyta; Magnoliopsida; Fabales; Fabaceae. The record is from RefSeq and is a predicted model, not a curated record. The transcript is spliced from 3 exons.
ACCCAUGGACCAUAAAAAUAGAUUUUUUUGAAAUCUCUGGUUCAUUUGCUUAAAACACCCUCUCUCUAGAAAACUUGUUCUUCAGAGUUCUCUCCUCAAUUUCUUCACACUGAACCAUUCAAUCUUUGAAAAAGGUGUUCAGGUGUUCCCAGCGUAGAGGACUUCGAAACCUACUGAUCAAUUUCCCUUUUCUUCAACUGGUGAUUCUAGUCUUCCUUGAAGUGAAAUUUAGCGUUUAGGGGUUUCCUGUGUCUUGAGCUGUUCGACUGAGAGAGGUAGGAGAGGUGUCAUUGGAGCAAGCUUUGGAGGGAGAUGAUGCAACCCCUAGCUUUUAGGCUUCUUCCUAAAUGUUGUCUUUAUUUUGAAAUACUCUUAUUUUGUAAAGUUUUAAAUUUCUGACCUCUUGUAGGAUGACUGUAAAUCCUAUACUUCAUUAUAAAAGUUCUAUUUUUUGUUUUAUAAUUCCAUAUGUAUUCUUAAACUA